Drosophila navojoa is the source of this 103-nucleotide long non-coding RNA. NCBI's taxonomy places the organism in Eukaryota, Metazoa, Arthropoda, Insecta, Diptera, Drosophilidae. The record is from RefSeq and is a predicted model, not a curated record.
UGCUCUAUGUGUGUGUGUGUGUGUGUGUGUUGUAUGUGUGUCUCUACUGUACUUUUAUAUCGCAUUUCGCCGUUGUUGUUAUCGCAAUUUUUGUACCUUACCC